Molecule: ribosomal RNA, 274 nt
Filed under: uncultured bacterium
Lineage: Bacteria
Description: partial 16S ribosomal RNA
Rfam family: Bacterial small subunit ribosomal RNA
Source: RNAcentral
AUACGGAGGGUGCAAGCGUUACUCGGAAUCACCGGGCGUAAAGCGCGCGCAGGCGGCUUGAUAAGUUGGAUGUGAAAGCCUACGGCUCAACCGUAGAACUGCAUCCAAAACUGUCAGGCUCGAGUCUGGGAGGGGAAGAUGGAAUUAGUUGUGUAGGGGUAAAAUCCGUAGAGAUAACUAGGAAUACCAAAAGCGAAGGCGAUCUUCUGGAACAGUACUGACGCUGAGGCGCGAAAGCGUGGGGAGCAAACAGGAUUAGAUACCCUAGUAGUCC